UCCGAAUUGGUGUAGUGGCUAACAUUUGGCGCUCUCAAGUUAUUAACAUGAUCCGCCAAGCCCGGGGUUCGAUUCCCCGAUUCGGAG
Hypoxylon sp. FL1284 is the source of this 87-nucleotide non-coding RNA. Lineage: Eukaryota; Fungi; Ascomycota; Sordariomycetes; Xylariales; Hypoxylaceae. The record is from the annotation of a GenBank genome assembly.